Molecule: non-coding RNA, 704 nt
Organism: Chelonoidis abingdonii (Abingdon island giant tortoise)
Lineage: Eukaryota; Metazoa; Chordata; Testudines; Testudinidae
Source: RefSeq, a predicted model, not a curated record
GAGCUGGGUCUCUGUUGGGCCUGCACCGAUGCCCUUCCAUGUUGGCAGCAGAAUGUUACCCCCCAAAGCCUCCAUCUCACCCUCCUUUUUGCAGGCUUUAGUUUGAAUCCAGAGUCUAUAAGUCUUGCUGUGUCACUGCCUCUGGGUUUGGUGAUUGAUCACCCGUCACUUGCAGGCGUGACUGUCAGCCUCAGACCUGGCUUUGAUCUUCCUUCUAGUGCACCUUUUCUGUUUAGGGUGGACACUUCUUACUUUGUUAGGGCUCCUGUCUGCAUCUUCAGCCGGGGGGGGUUGAACUUCAUUUCAUCAGGACAGGUUGGGGCUGAAGGGUGAGUCCAUCAUCCAUUCAUCCAUCCCUCAGUCACAGCUAAACUAGACUAAUAAGAUUACAGCAGAGUUUGCAGAAAUGAAAGUUGGACGAAGCUUUUACAAAAUGGAGCCAGCGUUAAAAUGGGGUUUGAAUUCCAAUAUGGCAAACAGUGAACAGAAGGGACAGUGUAGCGGAUGGUGAACAGUGAACAGAAGGGACAGUGCAGAGAAGCGUAGCGGAUGGUGAACAGUGAACAGAAGGGACAGUGUAGAGAAGUGUAGCGGAUGGUGAACGGUGAACAGAAGGGACAGUGUAGGCAGGUGUAGCGGAUGGUGAACAGUGAACAGAAGGGACAGUGUAGGCAGGUGUAGCGGAUGGUGAACAGUGAACAGAA